AGGAGGAGGAUGGGGUUAAUGAGGAGAAUGUGAAAGCAAAGGAGGAGGAGGAUGGGGUUAAUGAGGAGAAUGUGAAAGCAAAGGAGGAGGAGGAUGGGGUUAAUGAGGAGGAGGAGGAGGAGGGGGUUAAUGAGGAGGAUGUGAAGGUUGGUGUUGAAGGUGAAGGUCCGGAAGUAGAGGGUAAUGUGAUGGAUGGGCUGAACUUUGAGCUAACACUUGGACAAGAUGUUGUGGAGGAGGAAGAAGAGGUGAAGAAUGCGGAGAUGAUAGAUG
This 273-nucleotide long non-coding RNA is filed under the name Olea europaea (common olive). RNAcentral describes it as "long non-coding RNA (OEUR_LNC001951)". The record is from RNAcentral. Lineage: Eukaryota; Viridiplantae; Streptophyta; Magnoliopsida; Lamiales; Oleaceae.